CAAAAACAUCUUUUCUUGUUAGUUUUUGAAGUAUGGCCUGCCCACUGACUUAUUUGUUGAAGGGCCGCGGUAUUUUGACCGUGCAAAGGUAGCAUAAUCAUUAGUUCUUUAAUUGUGAUCUGGUAUGAAUGGCUUGACGAGACAUGGGCUGUCUUAGGGGUAUUGAUUGUUGAAUUUGGUUUUUGAGUUAAAAUUCUUAGAUGUUUUUAUGGGACGAGAACACCCUAUAGAGUUUAACAUUUUUUCUUGUUGUGUGAAUUACUGUUUGUUGUUGUUUUACGAGUGAGUUGAAUGUUUUGUUGGGGUGAUGGGAGGAAUUCUUUUAACUCCUCUUUGCUUCUGCAUAUUUAUUUAUAUUAUUGUGAUCCUUUUAUUUUGAUUAUAAAACUAAAUUACCUU
This 399-nucleotide ribosomal RNA is filed under the name Amitermes nordestinus. Its description in RNAcentral is "partial 16S ribosomal RNA". Lineage: Eukaryota; Metazoa; Arthropoda; Insecta; Blattodea; Termitidae. The record is from RNAcentral.